This 236-nucleotide ribosomal RNA is filed under the name uncultured bacterium. RNAcentral's name for it is "partial 16S ribosomal RNA". It matches the Rfam family "Bacterial small subunit ribosomal RNA", at positions 524 to 761 of the family's 1533-position model. The record is from RNAcentral.
UACAGAGGGGGCAAGCGUUGUUCGGAAUUACUGGGCGUAAAGGGCGCGUAGGCGGCCUGCUAAGUCGAACGUGAAAUCCCCGAGCUCAACUCGGGAACUGCGUCCGAUACUGGCAGGCUUGAAUCCGGGAGAGGGAUGCGGAAUUCCAGAUGUAGCGGUGAAUGCGUAGAUAUCUGGAGGAACACCGGUGGCGAAGGCGGCAUCCUGGACCGGCAUGACGCUGAGGCGCGAAGCCA